RNAcentral lists this long non-coding RNA (5274 nucleotides) under Callithrix jacchus (white-tufted-ear marmoset). RNAcentral describes it as "lncRNA (ENSCJAG00000083680.1)". The record is from RNAcentral. Lineage: Eukaryota; Metazoa; Chordata; Mammalia; Primates; Cebidae.
CCUGUUGAAUCAUGCCUCAUUUAUAAAUAUUCCAUUAUGAGUGUGGUGACCAAUUUGGGUGCUAUUCUAUUGUUGUAGACAAAGCUUAAAUGUGGAAGACUGUAACCAAGUAAUUGCAUGCUCAGGAAUGAUGGGAAAACAGUGACUGUGUUUGAGCAGACGGCGAUCUGUGUCUGUUUACCUUUGGUGUGGUGUCUUCCAUUUGGGCCUGCCGGGUCACUGCCAAGCCUCAGGCCCAUGCAGGGCCUCAGCUCUGAGUGGAGGAGGCCAGUGUGUCUGGCAUACCUUUUAGCCAAAGAAGAUGGAGCUACGGCCGAUGCUCACCAGGAAUCUGCUCACCCAGAGAUGCUGGACCCUGCACAUCCUAGGAUGCUUCUUAGCAGAUGGCUCCAGAGGGCAAAGACCUCCAGUCUGGUCUCAUCGUUCCAUCCACUGGGCUACGGAAGAUCAUCUUUGAGAUCAGGUGGCAUCUCAGCAAGUGGCUUGGUUGACGUUGACUUUGGUCAGCCUUGGCUAACUCGGUGGAAAAGGGGUUUUCUAUGAUUUCCUCCAUUCACGUUAUUGUCUACGAUGCUUUGCUCCUCACUUGCAAUGGAAGAAGAAAGAAAGUUCGUUGAGAGCACAGCUGGUGGCAAUUUUGCUCUGAAUUCAGAGGUUGUGGAGCAAACGGGAAAUUUCAUGCUGCAGCGGCGGUGGAGGCCGACUGAGCUUUAGUGACUUACAUGGUGUGUCCACAACCUGCUUCCCGUGAAAUUGCCUUUUAAGCAUGGACAACCUGGGAAGCUGCAGCUGAGCCGCUUCUCUAGAAGGCUCUCUGGAUUUCAUAACUAGCCUCAUUCUAGCAUUUAGUAAAACUGUGCUGUCCUAUGCCUCAGAUUGACUAAACUUGGCCUGUGCCCUAUUUCAAAAGUCAGCUGGGCUUCUAAAGUGCCAGAGUAGGCAGUCCACGGAGAGUCGUCUUCUCUCAUCUUAAAGAUUCAGGAGGUCUCUCAACUCCCGGCAAGGAGUAUGCUAUGUUCCUGGCUGAACAAACUCACUUACCUCAGUCUAGAAUUAACCCGAGGAAUGCACACCUUUGGUAAUGUUGGUGUUUCUAAUGAUGUCUAAAGUGAUCCUCCUGGCCUGGUGUCAGCCACUUGUGACAAUCUCAUACUCCAUUUAGACUCAGGAGAUCUACUUCUCAUCCAGAAUCUUUUCCUAAAUAAAUGAACUUCAUCCUGUGUCAAAUGAAGGGUCAGCUCAACAUUCACUAAAGUCCUUCUGGCUCUAGAAUUUUCUAAUUUAUUUUAUUCUAGCUCUGCUGGAAGUUGAGACCAGCUGUUUACUCUCAAUAAAAGGCAGUCUCACUCUCCCAUUAGCAUUCUAGACUGUUUUAAGGUCCUGCAUCCUCAUCUUAGCUUUCUUUUCUUUUCCUUUCUUUUUUUUUUUUUUUUUUUUGAGAUGGAGUCUUGCUCUGUUGCCCAGACUGCAGUGCAGUGGCAUAAUCUCAGCUCACUGCAACCCCCGCCUCCCUGGUUCAGGCAAUUCUCCUGCCUCAGCCUCCCGAGUAGCUAGGAUUACAGGUGUCUGCCACCACGCCCAGUGGAUUUUUGUAUUUUUAGUGGAGAUGGGAUUUCACAUUGGUCAGGCUGGUCUCAAACUCCUGACCUCAUGAUCUGCCCACCUUGGCCUCCCAAAGUGCUGGAAUUACAGGUGUGAGCCACUGAGCCCAGCUGACCUCAUCUUAACUUUCUCUCUUUGCUCCACUAAAGCAAAUCCCAAAUUAUUUGGCCUUUUCUCAGAAGGACAGUUUUACAAAGCGUAUCAUCAUCCAUGCAGACACGGAACUUUUUGGGACCCUUUCUAAGGUCUUUACAUCACCCUCCAAGUGUACCUUCCAAGCAGAACACCAACACAAGCGUAACAGGAGUGGGGUGGUAUGGCUGGGUAUGGAUACAGUCAGAUUCUGCCUUUCCAAGCCUUGCUUGUGUGAGAGCUAAACAAUUUCAGGGAACUCACAUCCCACUGUCUUCUGGAGUUGAGUCCAUUUAGAGUAGAGGCCAUGUUAGCUGUGUUUUAAACAUGGCAGCCAACAAUGAAUGUCCUGGACUCAUUCUCCUCUUGGCUUGUGCAGAGAGAGACCAGUCAGGUGGCUUAGAGAUGUUGUUGGCAGGAACCACUGCUCCCUCUAUUUGGGAAUGAAGGACCAUAAAUUGUUGCUGCCUUCCAAACUGCCAAUAAAUAAGUAAAUAUAGAGAGUGUUGACAUUGGUCUCCCUGCCAAACACCAGUCUGCUUCUAUUCUCAUUUUCGGGGAGACUAAAGAGAGAAGGGUUAUUGAAUAGGCUGAAGAAGUAGCCUCAGUUCUACUUGGAAUCUCUUCUCUUUUUGGAAACAUUUCAGUUGGCUUUCUGGCCCUUAUUGGAGAGUGGGACAAUUCUGUCAAACAUGAGAUUGUGUUAGCUUAUUCAUAAUCAUGAUCAGCAAUAGGCUGAAAUGGGCCACUUCUAAAGCUGAACUGUUGUCAACAGAUACUUCAGCUAUAGUUUAGAAUAACAGCUUGGCCCCUGAGAGGGAUGGUGUGAAUUUACCAUGCAGCCAACUCCAGGAGAGUUUAAGGUGUUGGCCAAGCACGUGACACUUUAGGAAUUCUCAGCUUUGGGGCUCAACUUCCUCUCAGCCCACAGAUUCCCCAGGUUUUCAGCCAACGCCUCUUGCGUUAGAGGGUUUUGUGCAUUGACUCAGUCUGAAGUCGGACAACAUGGCAGUGUGUUUCUCAGCAUGGAAGGCUGAGGCAUAGCUUGCUGACUUUUGCGUGUCUGAUGCUUACCAUGCUGUCUGUCACAUCAAAGGCACUUAAUAUAUAUUUGUGGGAUGAAUGAAUGAAUGAAUGAAUUUAGAGAUGCUUGGCUUCCUCUCUGCUGUUAUCAAUAAUCUCAGACUGUUCCUGUAUUUUGAAUUACUCCAGAGCCACACUCCAGGAGGUCUGAAGUCUAGGGUUUGACUCACAUGCUUCUGUUGCCACCUACCCAUGUCCCACUUUCUUUUCCUUAAUACCCACCCCACCAGCAUGGCGGAGGGCUCCCUGUAAAGGCUCUUAGCCCAUGCUGCACGCACCUUUUCCUGUUCUGAAGCAUGUCGCUAGAAAUUCUACACUUUAAAGAAAAACCUUUCACUCCUUUCCUGUUACUUUUCCCAUUUCCCUUGAGAAUGUUCAGGACCCUGCAAUAUCAACAGCUCUAACUGAGAAGAUGUGGCUGAGAAACUGAGGAAAGAGAAGGCCAAGGGCUCAUGGAGGAGUCGGGCGUAAUAACUUCUCUUUCUUGAGAUCUGGUGGGGUUUUCUUUUUGGAUGGCUGGUCUCCUGGGCAGAGCCACCGGCCUUAAAGGGCCACACACACUUCAAAUUUGCAUGGUUGUGGUGGGUUUUUUUGUUCGUUUGUUUUUGUUUUGAGACGGAGUUCCACUCUGUUGCCUAGGCUAGAGUGCAAUGGUGUGAUCUUAGCUCACUACAACCUCCGCCACCCGGGUUCAAGCAAUUCGUUUGCCUCAGCCUCCCAAGUAGCUGGGACUACAGGCGCACACCACCAUGCUGGGCUAAUGUUUUGUUAUUUUUAGUAGAGGCAGGGUUUCACCAUGUUGAUCAGGCUGGUCUCAGAACUCCUGACCUCAGGUGAUCCACCUGCCUUGGUGUCCCAAAGUGCUAGGAUUACAGCAUGAGCGCACCCGGUCUCCAUGAUUCUUUUGACAGCUGAAGUGCAAAGGAAUUAACUUUUUAUUUCACGUUAUUUUAAAAAUAAUCUCAACUUUUAUUUUAGAUCCAGGGGGUACGUGUAUAGGUUUGUUACGUGGGUGUGUUUCAUGACACUGAGUUUUGAGAUAUGAAUAACCCUGUCACCCAAGUAGUGAGUAUAUACCCAAUAGUUAUGAUAGUUUUUCAGCCCUUUCCCUUCUUUCUUACAACCUUCUACCCCCUGUAGUCCCCAGUGUCUACUGUUCCCAUGUUUAUGGCUAUGUGUACCCACUAAUGCUUAGAUUCCACUUAUAAGUGAGAACAUGUGGUAUUUGGUUUUCUGUUCCUGUGUUAGAAAUUAACCCUUUGAAUCAAAGUCUUCUAUAGUUAGUUACUGCUUUUCUUCCAAGUGUGAUUUAUUAUUCACCUUUUAAGGCAUGAAUGUAAGAGCAUAUUCACAUGCACGCACACACUGGAUACUACUGGGUUUUGACGAGUUUAAACAUUACUAAUUUCCCUGCACAUCCUCAUGGCAUCUGAACAACCCAAGACUUCCUACUAAUGGUUUCAAGAGGAGACUUCCAGGUAAUUAGGGAGAUUCUGUUUUCCAAGAAAGGCUCUUCGUUUCAGAAGUCUGGUUUCCAAGAAUUGUGGAUGAUUGGUUCAUUUUGGGGGCUGGUAUAGUUUAACCGGCAGCUUAUGCCACGCUGACCUCUAGCAUACUUGUAUAGACGCAGAGACACAAGCCUGCAUGAUUGUGGGAUUUUCCCUAGAGUCCUAAUAUACCUUUGUUAUUUAUAUUUUUAAAUGUGUGAAAGUACCUGAAAGCUUAGUGGCAAAAGAAGACUGCUGUAAAAAAUUGAAUAAAAAGUACAUUUUAAAAAAUCCAAGUUAGUGAGGUCUGACUUCCUCUGUUCAUUUAUUGCUACUCUUGUUGCUUUUUGGUUUUUGUUUUGCUUCUUGACUGUUGUUGUUUUCCAGGAAAGCUGUCAUUUAUCGUGAGAACAAGAGCAGCCAUGUGUUGAUUUUUCUGGAUUCUUUUUGGAUACUAUCCCAGUGCUAAUGAAGGCCCUUCCAAAGUGCUAAAGAGCUGGUGCCAAAAUCCGUUACGCUGAAAACAAUAGAGAGUGGUACACAGACGGCAUAUAUACCCGUAUAUGUAUACGCACGCCUCGAUAUCUGAAUUAAUACAUGUGUGUGCACCUCCCUCUGUUUAUGCAAAUAUACACACGCAUUUGUGCAAACACAUAAUGUGUGUCCUGGAGCUACACUGAGGAGAGUGUGAUGGCUGCAUUUUAAUAAAAGGACUUUUUACAGCUUCUUGCAGAAUAUUUUAUUUAAUCAAGGCAUAAGCAAAGUUUCUAGAUAUUGCAAUGCCCUAAUUUGUCAGUUUGGAAGCUACUGAAAAUGUACCUUCAUCAAUUACAAAAUUUAGGGAGGAAUAUAAUUAUUGUUAUAUAUCUUACUUGUUUUACUAGGAGAUGGGGAUACUACUACAAGCAGCACAUGGAAAACGCUUAUCUUAGGCUUGGCUGCUGUGCUUAUACUCAUAAGUUGUUUACCA